Molecule: ribosomal RNA, 467 nt
Filed under: uncultured bacterium
Lineage: Bacteria
Description: partial 16S ribosomal RNA
Rfam family: Bacterial small subunit ribosomal RNA
Source: RNAcentral
ACGCACGCUGGCGGCGUGCUUAACACAUGCAAGUCGAACGGAAAGGCCCUGCUUUUGUGGGGUGCUCGAGUGGCGAACGGGUGAGUAACACGUGAGUAACCUGCCCUUGACUUUGGGAUAACUUCAGGAAACUGGGGCUAAUACCGGAUAGGAGCUCCUGCUGCAUGGUGGGGGUUGGAAAGUUUCGGCGGUUGGGGAUGGACUCGCGGCUUAUCAGCUUGUUGGUGGGGUAGUGGCUUACCAAGGCUUUGACGGGUAGCCGGCCUGAGAGGGUGACCGGCCACAUUGGGACUGAGAUACGGCCCAGACUCCUACGGGAGGCAGCAGUGGGGAAUAUUGCACAAUGGGCGGAAGCCUGAUGCAGCAACGCCGCGUGCGGGAUGACGGCCUUCGGGCUGUAAACCGCUUUCGCCUGUGACGAAGCGUGAGUGACGGUAAUGGGUAAAGAAGCACCGGCUAACUACGUG